RNAcentral lists this ribosomal RNA (138 nucleotides) under uncultured eukaryote. RNAcentral's name for it is "partial 18S ribosomal RNA". It matches the Rfam family "Eukaryotic small subunit ribosomal RNA", at positions 1299 to 1458 of the family's 1831-position model. The record is from RNAcentral.
UGGUGGAGUGAUUUGUCUGGUUAAUUCCGUUAACGAACGAGACCUCGACCUGCUAAAUAGUGGGGUCUAGGCUUGCCUAGAUGCUUACUUCUUAGAGGGACUAUCGGUUUUAGCCGAAGGAAGUUCGAGGCAAUAACA